RNA transcript from Rhinolophus ferrumequinum (greater horseshoe bat), 7441 nucleotides. It is a transcript of the gene named protein phosphatase 1 regulatory subunit 3E, with no coding region annotated. The record is from RefSeq and is a predicted model, not a curated record. The transcript is spliced from 3 exons. NCBI's taxonomy places the organism in Eukaryota, Metazoa, Chordata, Mammalia, Chiroptera, Rhinolophidae.
AAAAUUGAAUCACUUUAAAAAUCAGUCCUGGCUUGACAGUAUUGUUAUAGUUAAUACUAAAGUUAAAAUGCAAACAGGAAUGAAUUCUACAAUAAUAAGGUAGUAUACGUCUCCCUGUUUAUUUCCAACUUAGUCACUAUUUACAGUUAAACUCUCCUGCUGUUUUAAAUUUAGAGAUUCCAUUUCUAUUCUAAGACUCCCCACUUCAAUACUCUGAAAAUGUUAACUAUUACCAUUAACUGUUUUAAUCUUACAUAAACAAGUAAAUAAGAGAGUGGACUCCAGAGGUGGACUGCUGAGGUUCUAAUCCCAGCUCCCUAAUUAUUAUCUUAUGUGACCUUGGGCAAGAGUCUUAGUCCCUCUCUCCAUCAAUUUUCUCAUCUGUAAAAAUAGCCAUAAUAAGACUCCCUGCUCCUAUGAUGGCUGCACGGUAUGAGUUAAUGUUUGUAAAACUAUUACAACUAUAAGUGCUAUAUAAGAUCAGUGGGAAGUAGAAAAAAAAAAUAAACAAAACUUCACAUGCUCUUUUCACUAAAGUAGGAAAAAAUGAAGAAAAACACCGGCCCUGUGCCCUUCUUGGAACCUCCCACUGGAACUAGAACCCUAUAGUCCCAGCUCCAAGAGUGUGGUGUGUUCAUUCAUUCGAUAAUUUAAAGGCCUACUACUGUUAUGAACUAUCAGACACAUGCUCUGUCCUCAAACGGCUUAGUCAGGUUAGAGAUCAGAAUUCGAACCCAUUUUUUUACAGAUGAGAAAACUGAGGUUACAGAGAAGUUGUGCCUUGCUCAAGAUUACACCGCUAACUAGCACCAGAAGUGAGACCAGAAGCUUUGUCUUUCCACGACUUUUAGUUCAGAACUUUUUCCAAUGGGCCACCCACCCUUGUGGGCCGCGUCUGUUUUUAUUUGGGAUUCUGCCUAGUUUUCAUGACCUUCCCUUCUUUGCAACGCCCCCCCUCACCAAAACCUGUAAACUAGAGUUUAGACAACAGUGAGCCCUGCAGAGAAAGUCACACACUGAGCGCUUUGAACCUUCCCCUGCAAGAAAAGGAAAUGUUACUCUUUACAUCCUUCAUUAACUCAUCCCAUGCCAAAAAGGUUGAGGUCGUUAAAAAAAAUUUAAAAGGGCAGAGGGUCUCACCCAGGACGGAAAGGGUGGAGUCCCCGCCCCCUAGUGCAGCAACGCAGACAGAUGGGAGCCACCUGUCAGAGGGCUGUGGGCGGGGGCCUGGGCCGCGACGGCCGCGAGACCCGAGGAUGUGUGCUGCUGAGCGCACGCUCAGAGCAGACAGCUAGCAGGAGACAGGAGGUGAUCGUCUAAGACCCUGGAAGCUGACGGCAAGAGGGAAGGAAAGGUAGUCACCAAGGCAAAGCAGAACUACGGGAGGUGGAGGAUCCUGGAAGUGAAAGCAAGGAGAGUACGCAACUGCGAGGGGCGGUUGAAGCGGGCCGGCGGCUUCUGCGUGGACGCAGGCGAGUGGGCCAUUCGGAGCGAGGUCACAGAGGCGGCGCUGCGGGCGGGCCCUGCCGGGGCGGGGGAUGCCAUGUCUCGAGAGCGGCCCCCCCGCACCGACAUCCCCCGCAACCUGAGUUUCAUCGCCGCGCUGACUGAGCGCGCCUACUACCGCAGCCUGCGGCCCAGCCUCGAGGAGGAGCCGGAGGAGGAGCCAGGCGAGGGCGGGACGCGCCUCGGGGCCAGAUCGCGCGCUCACAUUCCGAGUCGGGGCCGCCGGGCUCGCUCCGCACCCGCCGGAGGCGGCGGUGCCCGGGCGCCUCGCAGCCGCAGCCCCGAUACCCGUAAAAGAGUGCGUUUCGCCGACGCGUUGGGGCUGGAGCUGGCCGCCGUGCGCCGCUUCCGCCCUGGAGAGCUGCCCCGGGUGCCCCGCCACGUGCAGAUCCAGCUGCAGAGGGACGCCCUCCGCCACUUCGCGCCGUGCCAGCCCCGCGCCCGCGGCCUCCAGGAGGCGCGCGCCGCCCUGGAGCCGGCCAGCGAGCCCGGCUUCGCCGCCCGCUUGCAGGCGCAGCGUAUCUGCCUGGAACGCGCCGAGGCGGGCCCGCUGGGCGUGGCCGGGAGCGCGCGCGUGCUGGACCUGGCCUACGAGAAGCGCGUGAGCGUGCGCUGGAGCGCCGACGGGUGGCGGAGCCAACGCGAGGCGCCCGCGGCCUACGCCGGCCCGGCUCCGCCCCCUCCACGCGCGGACCGCUUCGCCUUUCGCCUGCCCGCGCCGCCCGUUGGGGGCGCCCUGCUUUUCGCCUUGCGCUACCGCGUGACAGGCCACGAGUUCUGGGACAACAACGGCGGCCGUGACUAUGCUCUACGUGGGCCCGAGCACCCGGGCAGUAUUGGAACCCCGGAGCCUCAGGGCUGGAUUCACUUUAUCUGAGACGCCUGCGGCCGACGGUGAAAAAACCAAAGGCACCUGGGGGCUAGGGGUGCCCAAAGAUUUGGCGGGCUGCUGUCCGAGAGAGUCAAGUGCGGGAGACAUCAAAGGGGUUUGGGGAGUGGGUGGAAUCAGCGAAGGUCGGGGAGAUAGGGGUGGAAAACACCGAUUAGAUGUGAGUAGACGGAACCCAAGGUACCGGAGAAAGGAGACCCGAAAGGGCGCUAGGAGGAUUCGAAAAAAGCGAAAACUAAGGAGUAUGGUGACGUUCUCUUCCGUGAGCAGGCACUGGGAGAAAGUUCGGCGGGCCUAGGCAGUGGAAGGUUAGGGCAGCCCUCUGGGGCUGAGCUGGUGUGUUGCGUGAAGUAGCAGCCCCCUCAGUUGAAGUCAUUUAGAUUGCUGGCUCUUUCCCUUAUCUACCUUUGCCAUCUCAGGUCCCCCAACCCUGUCCAUCCUAGCUUUAACUCAGCUAUAGUUGCCUUGCUGAAAUCCCAGAAACUGGCCAUUGCUCCCCAAUCCCUGGCAUUAUGACAGGAUUCCCUUGUCACCCCUGACAGUCCCUGGCUUGGGUAUUGGAGAACUGGAUGGGGAGUGAUGGGAGAUAGUAGUCAGAGCUCCCUCCUCCAGCCUCUUUGCAGCCCUGGGGGUGUGUAAAUGAAGACAAAACCAACUCCAGACUUGUGCUUGUAGCCAAAUAACGCGGCGGCUAAUGGGUUGCUACACUCAGGGGCUUCCAGAAAAAUGCCAGCCUUAUUGUUCUGGGUGCCUUCUAAUGACCUCUAAGCACUUUAUGGACUGUAUUUAUCAACGGACUGUGAAUCACAAGAAUCACUAUUCUGAUUCUGCUCAAGACUAGGAAGUCACUGACUAGCUGUAUAAUUUUGGGCAAGUUCCUUCACCUUCCUGGGCCCCCGUUUCCUCCUGGGUAAAUUGGAUUUGGUUUAGGUGAUCUCUUUUGGCCCUUUCUUGCUUUGACAUUUUAUGAUCUGUGAGUAGCAGAGUGUAGAUUAGAAGCCACGUUCUCCACCCUACAGUUGGAGUGCUACAGUUCAGAAUGCACAGCACCCCGAGUGUUUGGUUGGGGCUGAGGAUGGGUCCUCCAGUUUUUGACACAAAUGUUCCAAGGCCAGGAAGCCUCCCCAAACCAGCCUGCAGCUUCUGGGUAUUAAGGCUUCUUUCAAACCACAGCUCAUCCUCUGCCUCUUGCUUUUUGCUCUGGCCCUCACAGACUUCCAGCCUGGAUGCUCUGAGACAGCUUUUGGAAGGUCUCUUGGGGGAAAUGAUGAUUGGGAGUCCCAAAGAUGAAAGGAAAUAAUGUUGGGGAACUUGUGAGGAUAUGGGAUUACGUGUAUAAGAAAUAGAAAGCACUUCAAGAAUCAAAACAACUUGAAAAUUAAAUGGCACCAGAAGAUGGCAGUGUGCUCCAUAUCCUGAGCAAGUGAAAUGGGAAAGCUGGACUCUUACCCCUACACAUUCAUGCCAUAUGUCUCUCCUGGUUAACCUCUGCUAGUUGUUGGGGUUUUCCCCCCCCCUCUUACCCUAUUCCUAAGCUCUGCUUUUCUCUUGUCCCUCUCUUUUCACUUCCAUUUUUCUUUUAGCAUAAUAGAGUACUUACCUUCAUUUUCUCUAUUUCCAAUUGCUUCCUUCUCAUUUUUGUUGAUCUGUGCUAUUCCUUGUCCCUCCAGAAGGGGUGGAGAACCUACUUGCUUUUCUCCAAGACCAUGGUAGAUCCACCUUCCUCCUUCAGGCUCCUCCUUAACAGUCUUCUAGAAGGGAGAAGAGGGAAAAGAAGCAGUUCCUGAUGCAAAUGAACAAGGAGCUCCCAGCUAUCUCUGAAGGGCACAAAUCAGAAAGCAUCAUGCCUCCUAAUAAAGAGGCCAGCAGUCUUAAUACCUCCCCUGCGGGGCUCAUCUGCCUCCCUCCAAUCUCCGAGGAGCUCCAGCUUGUGUGGACCCAAGCAGCCCAGACCAGUGAGCUGGAUGGCAAUGAACACCUGCUACAAACCUUCAGCUACUUUCCCUAUCCCAGUCUAGCAGACAUUGCCCUUCUCUGCCUACGCUAUGGGCUGCAGAUGGAGAAAGUCAAGACUUGGUUCAUGGCCCAGCGCCUCCGCUGUGGCAUUAGCUGGUCAUCUGAAGAAAUAGAAGAGACUCGAGCCCGGGUGGUCUAUCACAGGGACCAACUCCAUUUCAAAUCCCUUCUCUCUUUUACUCAUCAUGCAGGGCGGCCCCCAGAGGAGGUGCCUCCUUCUCCAGUGCCGCCUCCAGAACAAGUUAGUCUUGGAAUAGUGCCCUUGACUCUUACUGAGCCCAUCCAGGUGAAAGGAUUGAAGGUAGAGCCCAAGGAAUCCCCAGAGCCAUUGAGUCACCACAAAGCAAAGGAGCCCCUGAUGGCGCCUGGCAGUGGGGCAUUCUCCCACCAAUCAGAAUUUUGGCAGGAUCUUCAAAGCAGUGGCUUCUCUAAGGAGCAGGCAGGCAGGUGUCCUGGCCAGUCACAUGGCCUAGGUACUGCUUCCUGGAACCACUCCACAGCUGCCCACCAGCCACGUACUCGGGAUAAGCCCCCGCCAAUCUCAUUACUUGCCAGUAGUUGUAAGCCGGGGUCAGCGUCUAAUGUGACUCCUUCUUCCUCUACCUCUUCUUCCUCUUUCCAGGUACUGGCUAAUGGAGCUACAGCCACCUCUAAACCCAUCCAGCCACUGGGCUGUAUCCCACAGCCACUGUCACCCACUGAACAGGCACUACCCUCAUAUGUGGAGCCAGUCUCGCCCCAGAGGCUAAGGCAUAACUCAGUACUAGGUAGGGUUGGGCCUGCAGAGUACCUUUCCCCAGAUACACGCCAGCGAAAGACCAAGCGCAAAACCAAAGAGCAGCUGGCUAUCCUCAAAUCGUUUUUUUUUACAGUGCCAAUGGGCACGGCGUGAGGAUUACCAUAAAUUAGAACAGAUCACUGGUUUACCCCGGCCUGAGAUCAUUCAGUGGUUUGGUGACACACGCUAUGCCUUGAAGCAUGGGCAACUAAAAUGGUUUCGGGACAAUGCAGUACCUGGUACCCCUAGUUUCCAGGACCCAGCAAUGCCCACACCACCGCCUUCAACCCGCUCCUUGAAUGAAUGGGCUGAGACACCACCUCUGCCGAUACCCCCACCUGCACCAGAUAUACGUCCCUUGGAGAAGUACUGGGCGGCCCACCAACAGCUCUGGGAAAGUGACAUCCCUCAACUGAGUCAGGCAUCAAGGCUUAGCACCCAGCAGGUCCUGGAUUGGUUUGAUUCUCGAUUACCUGAGCCAGCUGAGGUGGUGGUUUGUCUAGACGAAGAAGAGGAAGAGGAGGAGGAAGAACUGCCAGAUGAUGAGGAUGAAGAGGAGGAGGAGGAGGAAGAUGACAGCGAUGAAGAUGUGAUCAUACAGGACUGAACGGGGGGGCUAUGGGAGGGGAGGUCUGUUACUAAAAGAUGAACCAACUUAGUAACUGUUUAAACAAACCACAUUUUAAAAAUUACCUUGUGGCAAAGAACUUGAAAAGCUUUGUGUUCUUGAGGUUGGGGGACAGGGAUGUAGCAAUGGUGGACCAGGGAGGACGAGUGUAGGGGCACAAAGUGAGGCAGGGAACUGAAUGGGCAGAAAUGCAGACCUCCAGCCUCAGUGAAGAGAGUGCUAAGGAUCUGGUCCAAAUUGGGGGCUGGGUAAAGGCUCUUGCUGUCCUCAUAUCUGCUGUCCUUUUCCCUUAGUGUGCUACAGAGAGGCCAUAUCCAUAGGAGGAUUGGAAAGCAGGAGUAAAGAAUUCUGAUUUAACUGAUGAUUUCAGUGUAUCCCCUAGUCCCACUUUUCGCUGGAAUAUAAGGCUGCCUUGCACCCCUCCUUUCCUCUCUCAGCACAAGUCCAUGCAUGAUGCAGCUAAGAAUAUCAGUCUGCCACAGUCUCACAAAUAUUUCCUCUUCCUCAUACCACCUUGACUUGAUAUAUUUUACCUGCUUCAUGACUGAGUUACACAGGAAGCAGAAUGUUUUCAUUUCUGAUACUGGGACCACUUUGCCUUGUACCUUUUUCUCUUUCCAAAAUUCCCAUUCUGUUCACUAUGUCUCAGGGUAAAUCUUCCCCCACGGAGCUUGUGAAAAAGUUUAAUAACUGGGUGGAGAAUAAUUUAGACUGGAUAUUUAUUGGAGGUGGGAAUUAGGGGAGAUGUCCUUUUAAAAAAAGUAGAAUUAGGUUACAGAGGGAUAGAGGAGAUGGAAUGGUUUCUACUGUUCAGAGGACUGCAGGUAGGCUCCAGGUUUGGUUUUACAAGCCUGACACUCCCUCCUGCCUAGCUUGACAGAUUUUUCAUCUUUUUGGUGUUGGUUCAAUUUGUAUCCAGAAGAGAGACCUCUCUAUAGCAUCUGUCUUGAGGACAGAGGGACCAGGUCUUGAACUGAAUUUAUUGAUGUUUUAGAAUGGUUUUCAUCGGGGUCAGAUAUAAAGAUAUCAAUGGGUUACCCAUCUAGACACAAGAGUGGAAGCACCAAAUUGCUAAAAUAAUAAUAAAAAGGCCAAAAACAAAAUUGUUUCUCCUCCACUUUGCCACUUCUAUGGUUUAGAGAUUAAUGGAGCCAGAUCCAUUAACAUUCUGAUCUAGUACUUUUAUUUUUGAAGCCUUGGGAUAUAUUGAGACAAACUAGAGGCACACAAUCUUUGAAAGGCAGUAGAUCAGUAUCUCUCACUAUGCAGAUUGUUUCCUGCACCUGCUACAGCACAUGCUCUUGCUCAGAAUAGGUGUGUCUAGAAAUGCCUUUAAAAAUAAAUUCAGAGUUCCAGAAAGGGUAAUGAGUUCAGCUACGAGGUCAUUCCCAAGACCUAAUUUAUUUCUGGCAGAUGCUUGCUCUCUUUACAUUUUCCUAAUAUUUUUGCUUAAGGUCUGCCUGCCAGUGGUCCACUCAUUUAAUUUCUCAUUUCUACCCCUUAGUAGCCAAAGAAGAAUAAAUACUUGAUCUCAGCGGCAGUGUUCUUUGCCCCUCCCACCAUUCUAGAGCUUGUAACACCAGUAGAGCUGCAGUGGCAAUAAAAGGGCAUCUUUUAUUACUUA